UAAUGCCUAGGAAUCUGCCUGGUAGUGGGGGACAACGUUUCGAAAGGAACGCUAAUACCGCAUACGUCCUACGGGAGAAAGCAGGGGACCUUCGGGCCUUGCGCUAUCAGAUGAGCCUAGGUCGGAUUAGCUAGUUGGUGGGGUAAUGGCUCACCAAGGCGACGAUCCGUAACUGGUCUGAGAGGAUGAUCAGUCACACUGGAACUGAGACACGGUCCAGACUCCUACGGGAGGCAGCAGUGGGGAAUAUUGGACAAUGGGCGAAAGCCUGAUCCAGCCAUGCCGCGUGUGUGAAGAAGGUCUUCGGAUUGUAAAGCACUUUAAGUUGGGAGGAAGGGCAGUAAGUUAAUACCUUGCUGUUUUGACGUUACCGACAGAAUAAGCACCGGCUAACUCUGUGCCAGCAGCCGCGGUAAUACAGAGGGUGCAAGCGUUAAUCGGAAUUACUGGGCGUAAAGCGCGCGUAGGUGGUUUGUUAAGUUGGAUGUGAAAGCCCCGGGCUCAACCUGGGAACUGCAUCCAAAACUGGCAAGCUAGAGUACGGUAGAGGGUGGUGGAAUUUCCUGUGUAGCGGUGAAAUGCGUAGAUAUAGGAAGGAACACCAGUGGCGAAAGGCGACCACCUGGACUGAUACUGACACUGAGGUGCGAAAGCGUGGGGAGCAAACAGGAUUAGAUAC
Molecule: ribosomal RNA, 679 nt
Filed under: Pseudomonas putida
Lineage: Bacteria; Pseudomonadati; Pseudomonadota; Gammaproteobacteria; Pseudomonadales; Pseudomonadaceae
Description: bacterial SSU rRNA
Rfam family: Bacterial small subunit ribosomal RNA
Source: RNAcentral